This 424-nucleotide ribosomal RNA is filed under the name uncultured bacterium. RNAcentral's name for it is "partial 16S ribosomal RNA". It matches the Rfam family "Bacterial small subunit ribosomal RNA", at positions 360 to 776 of the family's 1533-position model. The record is from RNAcentral.
AAUAUAGGACAAUGGGCGAAAGCCUGAUCCAGUCAUGCCGCGUGUGUGAAGAAGGUCUUCGGAUUGUAAAGCACUUUAAGUUGGGAGGAAGGGCAGUAAGUUAAUACCUUGCUGUUUUGACUUUACAGACAGAAUAAGCACCUGCUAACUUCGUGCCAGCAGCCGCGGUAAGACGAAUGGUGCAAUCGUUAAUCGGAAUGACUUGGCGUAAAGAGCGCGUAGGUGGUUUGAUAAGUUGGAUGUGAAAGCCCCGGGCUCAACCUGGGAAUUGCAUCAAAAACUGUCUGACUAGAGUAUGGCAGAGGGUGGUGGAAUUUCCUGUGUAGCGGUGAAAUGCGUAGAUAUAGGAAGGAACACCAGUGGCGAAGGCGACCACCUGGGCUAAUACUGACACUGAGGUGCGAAAGCGUGGGGAGCAAACAGG